UAACAACCCACCACUACCACGUUCUUUAUCCAUAUUUUUUUUAAUUAUUUUAAUAAUAUUCCAAAAUUUUACUCAUCAAUAAUGAAGAAUCCCAAUCAGUAGUCUUCUACCAUUAUAAUCACCUUUUGAUCAGAUAAGACCACUUGCUUCAGUCCUUUAUUCUUUUGGCUCUCUCUCUUUCAGCUUUCAGUUUCGUCUGUCUAGGGGAUACAUGGGGUCUGAAGGGCCUUCACCUGUGAUCGUACAUGUAACUGGUUUCAAGAAAUUUCAUGGAGUUGCUGAAAAUCCAACAGAAACCAUUGUAAGUAAUCUUAAAGAUUAUAUGAAGAAAAGGGGUAUGCCCAAAGGGCUGAUCCUUGGGAAUUGCAGCAUCCUUGAUACUGCAGGCCAGGGAGCCCUAGUUCCCUUAUAUCAGACACUGCAAGCUGGUUUAAGCGGUGGUGACUCGGAGUCAUCUAAUUCCAAGAGAGUUAUUUGGGUACACUUUGGAGUUAAUAGUGGUGCCACAAUGUUUGCCAUAGAGAAUCAGGCUGUCAAUGAAGCUACUUUCCGUUGUCCAGAUGAGAUGGGAUGGAAACCUCAGAAAGUACCUAUUGUUCCUGCAGAUGGGGCAAUUUCGCGUAAACGAGAGACUUCUCUUCCGGUGGAGGAAAUGACCAAGGUAUUGGCAAAGAUGGGAUAUGAAGUAAUGACCUCUGAUGAUGCAGGCCGGUUUGUAUGCAAUUAUGUAUACUACCAUUCCUUGCGUUUUGCAGAGCAUAAUGGUGUCCGAUCACUAUUUGUACACGUUCCCCUCUUCCUAACCAUAGACGAGGAGACGCAAAUGCAAUUUGCUGCUUCUUUGCUGGAGCUACUCGCCUCUUCAUACUAGUCCUCGACUUCUGUGUCUGGAAGUGUAUUUGCCUUGUUAUUUAUGCUGUGUAUGCGGAAGAAGGUUGAUCUGGAUAUAAAUGUAAUGCUUUAAUAAACAGUGAACUUUUAGUGAAUGGCAAAUGCAUAUGGUGUGUACAUGUAUCUUCCUCAACAUUCCUUGGGUGGUUUAUCUCGUUGAUUUGGAGAUGUUUCAUGCCUAUUUGCGAGCAAACUUACAGCUUUCUGUAUCUCCUAAUGGAUAUGAUAGGAACUUG
RNAcentral lists this unclassified non-coding RNA (1127 nucleotides) under Hevea brasiliensis (rubber tree). The record is from RNAcentral. Lineage: Eukaryota; Viridiplantae; Streptophyta; Magnoliopsida; Malpighiales; Euphorbiaceae.